CGGGACGGGUGAGUAACGCGUGGAUAACCCGCCUCACACUGGGGGAUAACAGUUAGAAAUGACUGCUAAUACCGCAUAAGCGCACAGUAUCGCAUGAUACAGUGUGAAAAACUCCGGUGGUACAAGAUGGACCCGCGUCUGAUUAGCUAGUUGGUAAGGUAACGGCUUACCAAGGCGACGAUCAGUAGCCGACCUGAGAGGGUGACCGGCCACAUUGGGACUGAGACACGGCCCAA
Molecule: ribosomal RNA, 236 nt
Filed under: uncultured bacterium
Lineage: Bacteria
Description: partial 16S ribosomal RNA
Rfam family: Bacterial small subunit ribosomal RNA
Source: RNAcentral